This is a non-coding RNA of Zonotrichia albicollis (white-throated sparrow), 114 nucleotides long. Lineage: Eukaryota; Metazoa; Chordata; Aves; Passeriformes; Passerellidae. The record is from RefSeq and is a predicted model, not a curated record.
GGCUGAGGGUGGUUUCCACUAGGAAACCCAACCCCAGUGCAAAACCAGAUGACAACUUAAAUUUUGGAAUCAAAACCUUGGAAGAGAUCAAACUGAAAAAACUCAAGGAAAAAG